UUUCAUCAUGGUGUUGAUUUGUAUUUCCCUGAUGAUGAGUGACGUUGACCAUCUUUUGUUAACCAUUUGGAUGUCUUUUUUGGAAAUGUGUCUAUUCAUGUCUUCGUCCCAUUUCUUAACUGGGUUUCUUGGUGUUGGGAAGACCAAGUAUGCACCAAGUUGCAUACUUAACUGAACUUUCCAUGUGAACAUUCAGUAAAUAUUUAUUGAGUACCAGUUCUGUGCCUUGUACUGUACUUGAGGCUGGUGACACAGGACACAGUCUGUGGAGUUCUCAUAGAGCUUACUUUUUAAUGAGGGGAGGGGGAUAGACAAAAAUACCAAUUAGCUCUAGGUACUAUUCUGAUAACUAAAAUAGGGAGGUGUGAUAAAGUGUGACUAGGUGGCUACAUUUAUUGGACCAGGGAAAGCCUUUCUGAGAUGACAUUAAGUGACAGGCAGGAGAUUAUGAUGAACUCAAAGAACUCCUUUAACUCAAAGUUAAAUGAACUUAUGCAUUCCAGAAGAUACAGUAGGUACAACAACCCUAAGGUGAGAAUAAGGUUGGUGAAUGAAGGAACAGAAAGUCAGUGUGGCUGGAGCAUGGUGAGAGAAAGGGGAAGUGACAAAGGACAAGAUUGGAAAGAUAGAGGGUGAACAUCCACUUUAAUUUCUGACUUGGCAUGUUCAUUCCAAACUUAGCCUUUCCACUUCCCACCCCAACCAGUUCCUCCAAAAUUUUUCUUUUCUACCCAAUUAGACUCUAAACCUAGGAGUCUUCUGUAGCUACCCUUCAGAAAUCUGAAAUGUCUCUUUUGUUUGUGCUGUCCUUUUCUUUCCUAUUGAUAUACAUUCCCAAUAUCUGAUUCCUUCACAUCUAUAUUGUAAUAACCUUUGAAUGUCCUCACCACCUCUGGCUUUAUCAGUAUUUUCAUUCUCAUCCUUCCAGGUACAUGGUAGGAUUGUUCUUCCCAUCUCCUUAAAAGUAGGCGUGGCCAUGGACUUGCUUUGACUGAUGAAAUGUGUGAGAAGCAUGAGGGCCACACACUUAACUUUUCCUGCCCUGUGACUGGUGAUGUUUAAAAGGCCCCAUCAGCCUGGGGCCCUGGUGAGAAUAAUGAAGCAAAGUCGCCUUCUUGCCACCUCCUUCUUCCCAGAUGGACUUUCAGCAUGAGUAAGAAAUAAUCUGUUUUUUUUUUUUUUUUAAAUAUUUUAUUUAUUUAUUUAUGAUAGUCAUACAGAGAGAGAGAGAGGCAGAGACACAGGCAGAGGGAGAAGCAGGCUCCAUGCACCGGGAGCCCGAUGUGGGACUCGAUCCCGGGUCUCCAGGAUCGCGCCCUGGGCCAAAGGCAGGCGCCAAACCGCUGCGCCACCCAGGGAUCCCUAAUCUUUGUUUUUAAAGCAGAGUUUAGGAUUAUUCCAUAGCAAAAUCUCGCCUAGUGCUGCUCAGACUUAAAUGUGAUAUUAGUCACCUGAGGAAUUUUUUAAAAUGCAGAUUAUAAUUCUGUGGUGGGGCCUGAGAUUCUGUAUUUCUUACAAAUCCCCAGGUGAUGCUGAUGCUGUUAGGCCCUAGAUCACACUUCAGCAUAACACUUCACAUAAACCCGCCCUGAUUAUAUAAUAUACCACUCAACACAUCUAUGCUACACUACAAUCUCACCUGCACUUAAACUUCCCUAAAAAACAAAUUAGCAAACAAAGAAACAAGUUUCUCGGAGAUACAUGCUUUAUAAACUCUCAGUAUCUCCCAUACCUGCAGCUCCUCAGUCAGGCAUUGCAGAAUUUUAUUCUAUUCCUAGGACAAUCAUUUUCCAUAUUCUAUCUGUCUUUUUCUUUUCUACCUCUACCUAUGAGACUACUCAUUGUCUCACUAUUGAGUCUCAUUUUCUUUAGUAAUAGAAACUCUGGGUUUUAGCCUGGAACUAAAAGCCCAGCUGAAGUCCAUAUUUCCUCCAGCUCCCCCCACAGCUAGUAUUAGCUAUGUGACUAAGUUGUAGCUAAUGGGACGUGAGUGUAAGUGGUGUGUGAAACAUCUGGAUUCUGUCUUUAAAAAGAAAAGAUUAUGGGGGCACCUGGGUGGCUCAGUUGGUUAACCAUCUGACUUUAGCUCAGGUCAUGAUCUCAGGGUCCUGGGAUCAAGCCCGCAGUCAGGCUUCACACUGAGUGAGGAGUCUGCUUGUCCCUCUGCCCCUCCUUCCAGCUUGUAUUCUCUCUCUCUUCUCUCUCAAAUAAAAUCUUUAAUAAAAAUAAAUAAAAGGAAAGAUUAUGUUCUCUGAGUAUUUUUUCCCAUGUUCUCCCUUCUUAUCAUUUAGAAUACAGACCCAGAAGACAUCAGUAAUUUUUGGCCAUGAGACAAGGCCCAUAUCUGAGGUAGCAGAACAAAGGGUAGAAGAAACCUGCUGCGUUAGGUUUCUUAGUAGUACCUUUGGACUACUGUUUUUGUACAUGAGAGAACCUGUUUAAGUAGUUGCUGUUAGCCUGAAUCUUUGUUACAGCAUCAUGUUCAGGAUGUGAGAACAUCCUAGAACCCUAGAAUGCAUUUCACCCUUUGUUCUUAUCAAAAUUCUCAUUCUUGAAGGUCCAAAACAAGUCCCACUGUUCCUUCCAGCUUACAUUACCAUUACCGCCUUUCCCUAAACCCCUAUCCCAUGUGACCAUAUGAGGAAUGAGUGUUAUACAGAAUGAGGUUGAUUCCAGCAGCCACAUGUGAAAAUAAGACUUUCUUUACAGUCACUUAAAAAGAAAUGGGUUCCUAAAUUAUGAAGAAUAGACUCAGAGCUGUGGAAAGUCAGAUGGGGUGAGGACAGUAAGGACAGAACGGAUGAGAAGGCAUCAUGUGUUUGAGCAGAAUAAACUGGAGCACAUAUAUGGGAAGAUGUUCCAACAGCAGCUCUACACCAGUCAUUACACAAUUCCUAGGUUGCCUCACAUCAACAUGAAGAAAAUCUACCUUGGACAAAAGUGAAGGAUCUGGUCACUUCGGCUGUGAAGAAAGAUUGAAGGCAACAACCUUGGAAUUUAAAUCAUUACUUUUAUUUUAUGGAUAAGAAAAUGAGCUUAAAUGUAACUUCUUCAAGACUACAUAAUUAGUAAGUGAUGAAAUCAAGCUUCAAACACUGAUCUGAAAACUUAUCCACGUCUGCUGCCUUUCUAGAUCAAGGAUUCCAUCAGAAAGAGAAUAAAGGGGAUCCCUGGGUGGCUCAGCGGUUUGGCGCCUGCCUUUGGCCCGGGGCCUGAUCCUGGGAACCCCGGAUCAAGUCUUGCGUUGGGCUCUGCUUCUCCCUCUGCCUGUGUCUCUGCCUCUCUCUCUCUCUCUCUCUCUAUCAUGGAUAAAUAAAUCUUUAAAAAAAAAAGAAAAAGAAAAAGAAUAAAGUUGUUACUUUUGUAUCAGCCAUAUAGUUAGAUUUUGACAAAGUUUGAUCAUUAUUACUGUCAUUAUAAUUAUUAUUAUUACCUCUUUUUCCUUUUUGUCCUUCCAGCCAUCACAGAAAUUGCUGGCAAAGUCUCCUAACUUAUAACCAAGAAACCAAGAUGACCAUGACUAGUUGUGCUUUGCUAGACUAGAGCACCAGACGUAGGUUAUCUCAUAAAGAAGCCUGCUUUUCUCCUAACAAUACUACCCUUAUUUCAGAUGCAUGUCAUGUGCGUCCUCAAUUAUUGUAUGAACUUUUUACCAUAAAGAGUAGAUUUAAAUAUCUUUAA
This is a long non-coding RNA of Canis lupus familiaris (dog), 3681 nucleotides long. RefSeq lists it as uncharacterized. The transcript has 4 exons. The record is from RefSeq and is a predicted model, not a curated record. Lineage: Eukaryota; Metazoa; Chordata; Mammalia; Carnivora; Canidae.